Molecule: long non-coding RNA, 2432 nt
Organism: Alligator mississippiensis (American alligator)
Lineage: Eukaryota; Metazoa; Chordata; Crocodylia; Alligatoridae
Exons: 2
Source: RefSeq, a predicted model, not a curated record
GCAAGCGCUGCCCAGCCAGGGCAGGGAAGGCACGGGACGGAGCCGUGGCUCGUCUUGAGGGGGGGGCACAGGGAGUGGGGGGGAAGCUCCCAACACCGCAUGCCACCGGUCUGGGAGCUGCUGCUCCGGCGGCCUAUCCAGUACUUGCCUGCACAUCCGGCUGCUCCUGCUGCUUGUCUGGGAGGGCACGGGUGUGCCCCCAGGUCUGCACCAAGCUCUUCCUGGCAGGGAGGGUCAGGACAGGGCAGUGCUGCACUGGCAAGGGGCUAACGGGAUUGUGGGGGGGCUGUAUUUACAAAUUUGCCAUAACCCCUUCCCAGUGCCACAGCUGCCUGGCCAGUGCCGCCCCACCCUGCUGGGAAGAGCUUGAUGCAGCCCCGAUCCGAUGGGAAGAGCUUGCAUGGGCACACAUCCCCGCCUUCCUGGACGAGCAGCGGGAGCUGCCAGACAAGCAGGUCAGCUCUGGAUGAGCCACCAGACCAGUGGCUCCCAGCCAAGUGGCACAUGGCAGUGGGAGCUGCCCCCCCUGCCUCCCUGCACUCCCCGGACAAGCCAUUGCUCCAUCCUGCGCCUGCCUCACCCAGCCCCAGCUGGGCAACGCUUGCCCCUGCCCCAUCCCACCUCCAACCCCCCUCCUCCCUUCUCCCCACAGGGGCUUUGAUCUGCCCCCCUACCCCACUUCCCUGCCCCCUCCCCUCACACCAGACUUACCAGCUGGAGGUAGCUCUCCACGCUUCCAGACUGUGCUCCUUGUUGCCUGUACUGUGUGCAUGCAUGGGCCAUUUAUUGGCCUGAUAUGGCUGAUAUCCAGUAUAUUCAAUUUUCUUUAUAUUGGUGCUGAUCCAAUAUCAGACCAAUGUAUCGGUGCAUCUCUACCAACAACCCUUCCCUCAGAAGCAGUAUGAACACAAACCCAUGUAUCACCCCUACCCCUAUUGGGGACCCUUCGACCCCAGGUUUGGCAACCCGAGAGUGGGGAAGUCUUGACCCAAAAGAGGUUACUCUCCGGGAUUGUGCAUUGUCUCCUUUGCCAUCACUGUCUGCUGGGGGUGCUGGUUCCCUCUGCAUUGCAAAGGGUCCUUUUAGUGGCAACGCAUACUCUCUGAGAGCACCGGUGCACCCCCUGUCGGCCGCACUAGCUGCUUAGGCGACGGGCAGGGGGGCAGGCGGGAAUGCCGGUGCCCCCCCUACAAGUGUUGGUCAAUCGCUGUGCUCACUGCAGCUGCUUUCAGGAGUGGCUGCGGCCACUUCUGGGAGCAGCUGCAACAAUUGGCCAGUGCUUGCUCCCAGAAGCAGCUGCAGCCACUCCUGGAAGUGGCUGCAGCGAGUGCAGCGAUUGGCUGGUGCAGGAUCGCCUGGGGGAACCUGCUGCCCCCUGGUCCACAGGAUCGCCCACCAGAGCUCCUCCCCUUGGUAGGCAGGACUGGUGGCAGGGGGAGCACGUGCCCCGCCUGACUAAGGCAGCUCCAGUCGCCCAUGGGUCCUUUGGUGAAUUGAUGCAACUCCACCGACCUGCUGUGGAGUGUCGAUCUCUGCUCCUGCCUGAGUGGCUGUAGGGAUGUGUUAUGAGUUCCUGCCCUGAAUUCCCAAUCCAUACCACACAUGGCUACCUGACUCAAACCCUGACUUUCUGUACCAUCUGGCCUCAGGCUCUAGCAAGCAUGCCAGUGUUCCCCCUCUCUUCCGCAGGGGACUCAGGGGAAAAAAAACAAAGAAAACCCCUCAGCUCAGGUGGCCUGAACCUUAAAUAACUUCCCUGACAUCACUGCAGGGUCCCAAUCAAGAAACAGCAUCGCUGGAACACUGCUAAUGAAGACCAAUCAAUUCAAAGUUCCAGUUGCACUCCCCCCCUCACCAAGGACUAUUAGGCAGCCCAGCCAGGCAGCUGCAGAUGCAAGAACAGACAGGCUGGUAAACAGCCUUAACGAAUGCAAGAACAGAAUAAAAGAACUGGUCCAACAGGUCCGAUGGUCUUUGGGAAGCAUCAUGGGGGGUGAGGGGGAUGGGCUCACAAAAGCACCCACACAGCCUUAAGGAUGCAUACAGAGAACCACAAGGAUUGCCAGGUGCUCUCAGGUGUACUGCUCACCAUUCUGGUGCUGGUGGUCAUCGGAACAAGGAUAUCUGGCACUCAUGCACUUUCUCAUGCCAGGCCACAGCCACAGGUCUCACAUAUUCAACCACUUGCAACAGAGAGCAAUCAGUCAAUCUCUGAUUAAAGACUGCCUUGCUGUUCCUCCAAGUGAUUUAAUCAGGUUCUUAAGCUUCCUGAUUCUUUUAUAGUUUUGGUAGUUGUUUUUAGAUUUCAGUAAUAGGUUAAUAGUAGCAUAUUACAGUUAAGAACAAUGACUCAGAAUUAGUUGUAUUCCUUUUCUGUUUUUUAUUUAUAUUACUAUUUCAUGUAAAUAAAGUUAAAUGUUGUCUUUGAUGGA